Vidua macroura (Pin-tailed whydah) is the source of this 535-nucleotide long non-coding RNA. RefSeq lists it as uncharacterized. The record is from RefSeq and is a predicted model, not a curated record. The transcript is spliced from 5 exons. Lineage: Eukaryota; Metazoa; Chordata; Aves; Passeriformes; Viduidae.
UUGAAAAGGCACAGAACUUUUGUGCUCCGAGACCUCCAGCAACAGUGCUUCUAGCCCAGCCUGAAAGUUAAGAUCCAAAAAUUCACAGUCUUCAGCUUGCUCAUGACGUUCCUUAUCUGCAUCAUCUGCUUGAUUAAGAUCCUUUUCUUCUGCUUCUCCUUGAUCAACACUGCGAUAUUCUACUUGUUCAAGGUCUGUUCCAUCUUUCUUCCAUCUGAGCGCCUUUCACUUGAUUGUCCUGUAUGAGAUCCUGGUGCAUCUGUUCCACAGUUACCUGUGCAGGAUCCACUUGUACCUGAAUUACUGCAAAAAGUACUGCCUCAACAGCAGACAUACUGUUUUCACAAAGCACAUGAGCUCCCUUCCUUCCCUUCAGCUGGCACUGGACCGCCAGCUCCAGACUGACAGGCUGUCAGGUGACAUUUCAGUGUGCUAUUCCGAGCGAAACGUUCAUGGCAGUUUGGACAUUCAAAGGGUUUUUCACCUGUUGAGACAGAUACAAGGAUUUGUAAGUGAAUAAAACCACCCAGUCUUC